RNAcentral lists this unclassified non-coding RNA (260 nucleotides) under Hevea brasiliensis (rubber tree). The record is from RNAcentral. Lineage: Eukaryota; Viridiplantae; Streptophyta; Magnoliopsida; Malpighiales; Euphorbiaceae.
GGAUAAAAAGCUUCAAGCUGUUGAAUUUGAGUUGUAACAAUGCUGCUCUUUGACUUUGAUUGUUCUCUUUCUUUGCUAACAGCAGCCAAUCUGGAUUCCUCAGUGCCGCUUGUGAAAAUAAUAGACCUGUACUGGUUACCCACAUCAGGACCUUGCCCAAAGACUUGCCUGGAAUCAUGGCUAGACCAGAAGACCUCCAAUAGUUGUCUGAAACCAAGUACUCGGGGGUCAUACUCGACCUGUACAGAUUCAGCGUGGUC